UACGAGGGGGGCGAGCGUUGUCCGGAAUUAUUGGGCGUAAAGAGCUCGUAGGCGGCCUGUUGCGUCCGCUGUGAAAUCCCGGGGCUUAACCCCGGGCUUGCAGUGGAUACGGGCAGGCUGGAGGCAGGCAGGGGAGAACGGAAUUCCCGGUGUAGCGGUGAAAUGCGUAGAGAUCGGAAAGAACACCAACGGCGAAAGCACUCUGCUGGGCCGACACUGACACUGAGAGACGAAAGCUAGGGGAGCGAAUGGG
RNAcentral lists this ribosomal RNA (253 nucleotides) under uncultured bacterium. RNAcentral describes it as "partial 16S ribosomal RNA". It matches the Rfam family "Bacterial small subunit ribosomal RNA", at positions 524 to 776 of the family's 1533-position model. The record is from RNAcentral.